Anopheles gambiae (African malaria mosquito) is the source of this 1056-nucleotide long non-coding RNA. RefSeq lists it as uncharacterized. Lineage: Eukaryota; Metazoa; Arthropoda; Insecta; Diptera; Culicidae. The transcript has 2 exons. The record is from RefSeq and is a predicted model, not a curated record.
CCUUGGCUUCGAAUAUCAUUUUGACAGACAACGGGCCGAGACGUAUGAAGCGCCUGGAUGCGGGGUGGAAGAAUGGUUGCCAAAUUCGUAUGUGACGUGAGAAAAAGUAUACAAAAUAGAAAAGCGUUAAACAAACCGGUUUUUCUUAUCACAACACAUUGAAACCCCUUGUCUGUUUAACCGAUAAUAUGAAUUUUAUUUAUGUUGCAAGCACGUUUUGUGAUUUUGCAGCAAAUAUUUUGUUGUAUUUGUUUAUUUCUAUGAAAUUUUCGUCGUAAAUAAGGUCUAACGAUCACAGGCGAGACAGAAAUACAAAAACGGAAAAGCGAUAUGCACACGUUUGGAAAAUGAAGAAUGGGAAGUAGAGAACGAUUCAAACUAGCAAGUUCAUGGUCAACCGGAUACAUCUAACAUCAUUUAUCACCUAUGCACCUGCACAUACCGACCAGACCAAUCCAACUUAGACUGCGGAGCAUCGGAUGACACCGGACUACAGAGAACACGGCGUAGCGAACGAGACACCAGUGCAUGCGUGGUACCAACGUGACCGAGCUUCCAUCAGAACCAGAAAGAUCUUACGAUCGCACUUGCAUUUUGACAUCUAAAUAGCUUAGCAAAUAGACAGAAUUAGGCAAUAGCUUAGCAAAUAGACAUAAUAAGGCAUAAGUUAGACACAAAAAAGUCAGGACAUGUAAUGUAAUGUAAGUUUUAAGCAAUAUCAUUAGAUGGAGAAGUCUAUUUUCAUUUAGGUCCUUUAACGCACACAUUUUAAGAGUAGCUAGCUAGUUAGAGAGUGCAAUAGAAAAAAGGCAGAGAGUAGCUUUAUUUCAAUAUUUAAAUUUUUGUUUAUAUUACUUUUUGUUAUCAGUUGGCUAGCAAAUGCUAAGAUUCAUGCGUAUCUUUAACUCCUAUUCCAACCUCCUCGUCGUGCUAGCAGAAUUUUAAUUGAAGCAUGCAGAUUGAUUGCUUCACAAUUAUUAACUAAUAGGAAUGGAGUAACUUUUUAUGUUAAUAGAUUUCGUACAUAAAUAAAUGUUGAUCUUGAUUUCCUAGUAA